This 446-nucleotide ribosomal RNA is filed under the name uncultured bacterium. RNAcentral describes it as "partial 16S ribosomal RNA". It matches the Rfam family "Bacterial small subunit ribosomal RNA", at positions 338 to 795 of the family's 1533-position model. The record is from RNAcentral.
CCUACGGGAGGCAGCAGUCGAGAAUCAUUCACAAUGGGGGAAACCCUGAUGGUGCGACGCCGCGUGCGGGAAUGAAGGUCUUCGGAUUGUAAACCCCUGUCAUGUGGGAGCAAAUUAAAAAGAUAGUACCACAAGAGGAAGAGACGGCUAACUCUGUGCCAGCAGCCGCGGUAAGACAGAGGUCUCAAGCGUUGUUCGGAAUCACUGGGCGUAAAGCGUGCGUAGGCUGUGUCGUAAGUCGUGUGUGAAAGGCGCGGGCUCAACCCGCGGACGGCAGAGGAUACGGCGAGACUAGAGUAAGGGAGGGGGAGCCGGAAGUCGUGGUGUAGCAGUGAAAUGCGUAGAUAUCGAGAGGAACACUCGUGGCGAAGGCGGGUUCCCGGAGAGUAACUGACGCUGAGGCACGAAGGCCAGGGGAGCGAAAGGGAUUAGAUACCCGAGUAGUC